This 498-nucleotide ribosomal RNA is filed under the name uncultured Massilia sp. Its description in RNAcentral is "bacterial SSU rRNA". It matches the Rfam family "Bacterial small subunit ribosomal RNA", at positions 12 to 507 of the family's 1533-position model. Lineage: Bacteria; Pseudomonadati; Pseudomonadota; Betaproteobacteria; Burkholderiales; Oxalobacteraceae. The record is from RNAcentral.
UUUGAUCCUGGCUCAGAUUGAACGCUGGCGGCAUGCUUUACACAUGCAAGUCGAACGGCAGCGCGGGGCAACCUGGCGGCGAGUGGCGAACGGGUGAGUAAUAUAUCGGAACGUACCCAAGAGUGGGGAUAACGUAGCGAAAGUUACGCUAAUACCGCAUACGAUCUAAGGAUGAAAGUGGGGGCUCGCAAGACCUCAUGCUCCUGGAGCGGCCGAUAUCUGAUUAGCUAGUUGGUGAGGUAAAGGCUCACCAAGGCGACGAUCAGUAGCUGGUCUGAGAGGACGACCAGCCACACUGGGACUGAGACACGGCCCAGACUCCUACGGGAGGCAGCAGUGGGGAAUUUUGGACAAUGGGCGCAAGCCUGAUCCGGCAAUGCCGCGUGAGUGAAGAAGGCCUUCGGGUUGUAAAGCUCUUUUGUCAGGGAAGAAACGGCUGGGGAUAAUACCUCCGGCUAAUGACGGUACCUGAAGAAUAAGCACCGGCUAACUACCGUG